AGAGAAAAAUCCUGAAAUUCAGGGUUGACUCUGAAAGAGGAAAGCGUAAUAUACGCCACCUCGCGACAGUGGGCUGAAAGCCGCGUCGCAACUGCUCUUUAACAAUUUAUCAGACAAUCUGUGUGGGCACUCGAAGAUACGGAUUCUUAACGUCGCAAGACGAAAAAUGAAUACCAAGUCUCAAGAG
This 187-nucleotide ribosomal RNA is filed under the name Escherichia coli 7-233-03_S3_C1. RNAcentral's name for it is "partial 16S ribosomal RNA". The record is from RNAcentral. Lineage: Bacteria; Pseudomonadati; Pseudomonadota; Gammaproteobacteria; Enterobacterales; Enterobacteriaceae.